Molecule: non-coding RNA, 1155 nt
Organism: Dermacentor albipictus
Lineage: Eukaryota; Metazoa; Arthropoda; Arachnida; Ixodida; Ixodidae
Source: RefSeq, a predicted model, not a curated record
AUUUGAUUUGAUAUCAGCCCAUGUUUCUGGAAAUAAAUUUCCAGUGAAACUACCCGUAAACACAGAAAAUGGCUUAGAGGUAGCGUAAAAUAAAUAGCUUUGAAAGUAAUACACACACAUAGUUUAAAAGAAUAUUUGUUUUUAUGCCUUGAAAACGAAACCGAAAUUGAAAUAACUUCCCCCGACGGGUGUCGCCGCUAUCGCCGCUACGUCAUUUCCUGCGUCUCGCGGCGGGCCGCCGGGAGCACAUGUGUGUGUUCUCCGUGACAUUCUUGAAGUUGUGAGUAAUUAGAUUGUUUUUUGCUGCGUUUAGGUUGUACCACCUCGUUGUUUUCGUGUACUUUUGUGCUCAUCGACGCGAAGUGAGCGUCCGGAGUGAAGGCGACGCGAUUAUGCGUGAGAAAGAAGGGCACCAGCGGCCUACGACAUCGGUGUUUCUUUGUGACAGUGUGUUUACUACGCCUACGACGGCCGUCAUUCGUGGCGAAGGAGAAAACAUCUUCCAUUCGGCCUGAACAGUGAUGAAGUGGACGUUUUGUUUUUCGGCGGAAUGCAUCGUCAACAUGGUCCAUCCACUACGUAAACGAAACGGCGUGCCCAGAGUACAGAUCGUGACAGCGCUCCGCCUUCAAACCGAGGGCCUUUUGCAAGGCGCAUGAACUGCUCAUAUAAAAGUUGCAGUCAGCAUGAAGCAAUUGCAUGGGAACCGACUGGCUGUCUUGGGCCUACACGUUGCUGAAAAGACAGUGAAGACGUCUGACCCGACAGGUCUUUAAUGAUGUGGUUCACUGAGGCAAUGGAAAUGGCGAGUGUUGCAAUCUGGUGUUGCUUGAUCCUGCGAUUGCACCGAGUCAACUCAUCUGCUGAUGUUCAUGACCCUCAUCAGAAGCCAUUGUGGGCCAUCCAUUUCGGUGCUGAUCCGGGAGAUUUGAUGUGGUAGGAUUUUGGUCUUUCACAGUCCUUGCCCACCUCUGCACAGUGCUGACGUCAACACAGGCAUUCCUGUAAACUGCAGUCAAAUGGCCAUGAAUGUUGAUAUGCGCACAACCUUCCACAGUCAGAAAUUCAAUUACAGCCUGUUGUUUCAACUGGACGUCACCACUGGAUGCCAUGAAUUGCUCGAUUACUCUGGAACGAGAAGAGAUAGGAAGGCGA